This is a non-coding RNA of Meloidogyne enterolobii, 3368 nucleotides long. The record is from the annotation of a GenBank genome assembly. NCBI's taxonomy places the organism in Eukaryota, Metazoa, Nematoda, Chromadorea, Rhabditida, Meloidogynidae.
AAGUAGACCAAAGUGCAAUUGACCAAGUGUCGUAGGGUUCAGGCAAUAGGGUUCCCCCAGGCAAUCAAAUUUCACCAGGCAUUUUUGGUUUAUGAGUCUGUGACGAUCCGAUUAAAAAUCCCCCCCCCCCCCCAGUCAAUCAAAUUUACCCAAGGCAAUCAAAUAAUCGACUCAAGUAAAAUAUAUACUCAAGUAAAGGUAUGUAUAUAUAAACUACAAUUUAUAAAAAAGUUAAAUAAUUGUUUUCUAUAGACUCAAGUGUGUUUUCUUAGACUCAAGUUUUUGCCAAAGCAUUAAAAAAAGAUUACGACACCCCCGAUUCCCAGGACGUCUCCGUUCCAAGUACUAAGGAAGCCCAGCGUUGCUUAACUUGCCAGAUCGGACGGGAUGGCGUGCUUUCAACGCGGUAUGGUCGUAAUCACUGUGUUUUCAAUUUCUCAAUAUUUAAGAAAAAAUUCUCUAAGGCAAAGUGGGCGGGGCUAUUUGUUGUUCGCUGUUCGCGGGAAUGGUUUAAGGCAAAAAGAAAAUGCGCAAGUUUUUGGGUGUUAAAAACCUAAAAGCGAAAUGAAAGUAAAUGGCUCUUUAGAGUCUGAUGUGAGAUCUUGUAAAAAAGGGCAGCAUGGCCCCAUUCUAACUGUUUACAGUAGGGUGGAGGAAGAGCGUACGCGGUGAGACCCGAAAGAUGGUGAACUAUUCCUGAGCAGGACGAAGCCAGAGGAAACUCUGGUGGAAGUCCGAAGCGGUUCUGACGUGCAAAUCGAUCGUCUGACUUGGGUAUAGGGGCGAAAGACUAAUCGAACCAUCUAGUAGCUGGUUCCCUCUGAAGUUUCCCCCAGGAUAGCUGGAGCUCAUUAGUAGUUAUACUCGGUAAAGCGAAUGAUUAGAGGACUUGGGAACGAAAUGUUCUUAACCUAUUCUCAAACUCUAAAUGGGUAUGAUGUCAAAGUUGCUUGAUUUUGAACUUUGGCGUUGAAUACGAGUUCCAAGUGGGCCAUUUUUGGUAAGCAGAACUGGCGAUGUGGGAUGAACCAAACGCGGAGUUGAGGUGCCAAAGUGCCCGCUCAUUAGACACCAUAAAAGGUGUUGGUUGAUACAGACAGCAGGACGGUGGCCAUGGAAGUCGGAAUCCGCUAAGGAGUGUGUAACAACUCACCUGCCGAAUCAACUAGCCCUGAAAAUGGAUGGCGCUGGAGCGGGCCACCUAUACUCUGCCGUCAUAUGCUUGUAUUUUCCGUGAAAAGUCUUGCAAUGACGUGUAAGAGGGUCGUAGUGGUUGCAAUGAAGGCUUUGGGUGUGCACCCAGCUGGAGCUUCCACUAGUGCAGAUCUUGGUGGUAGUAGCAAAUAUUCAAGUGAGAUCCUUGAAGACUGAAGUGGAGAAGGGUUCCACAUGAACAGUAGUUGAAUGUGGGUCAGUCGAUCCUAAGGCACCGGCUAAAGCCGUCUAGACACUGCGGGGAGAUGAGAUACUUAACGGUAUAUUGUCUACUCGGUUGCCGAAAGGGAAGUGGGUUAAUAUUCCCACACCAGGCAUGGGAGAUGGUGAUCCGCAAGGAUUACUUUGCGCGGUGACGCAAACGAACUCGUAGACCUCGUGUGGAGUCCGGGCCAGAGUUCUCUUUUCUGGUUUAGAGAUCAUGUCCCUGGAAGUGGCUCAGCCUGAGAUAGGGAUGCUGGUCUCGUAAAGCGCAGCGGUUCCUGUUGUGUCCCGUGUGCUCCACAUGAGCCGUGAAAAUACGAGGGAGGCAAUUUAAAAUCUCCUGCCUGAUCGUACCCAUAUCCGCAGCAAGUCUCCAAGGUGAACAGCCUCUAGUCGAUAGAAUAAUGUAGGUAAGGGAAGUCGGCAAAUUAGAUUCGUAACUUCGGGAAAAGAAUUGGCUCUAAAGGUUGGGUCAGUCGGGCUGUUGUGUGAAACAGGUGGACUUUGCUCGUGGCUGCUUGAUCUUCCCUUCGGGGCGGCGCUUGUGGACUAGUAGUGAGGACUGCUUGUGGAGCGCUUCAGCUGCGUACUAUUUCGAAAGAUAUAGUACUUCGAUUGGCGCUGAACAACCAGUUUAGAACUGGCACGAACUCCGGGAAUCCGACUGUCUAAUUAAAACAGAGGAGACGGAUGGUCUUUGCAGGACGUUGACCGUGUCUGAUUUCUGCCCAGUGCUCUGAAUGUUAAGCCAAGGAAACUUGAUUAAGCGCGGGUAAACGGCGGGAGUAACUAUGACUCUCUUAAGGUAGCCAAAUGCCUCGUCGGCUAACUACCGACGCGCACGAAUGGAUCAACGAGAUUCCCACUGUCCCUAUCUACUAUCUAGCGAAACCACAGCCAAGGGAACGGGCUUGGCAAAUUUAGCGGGGAAAGAAGACCCUGUUGAGCUUGACUCUAGUCUGACUUUGUGAAGAAUCAUGAGAGGUGUAGCAUAAGUGGGAGUCGUAAGACAACAGUGAAAUACCACUACUUUCAUCGAUUCCUUACUUAAUCGGUAAAACGGGAGUUGUGUCUACGGACCUUCAUUUUUGUUUUAAGACUAGCCACUCGGUGGUUGGUUGACUCGCGCCGAUGACAUUGUCAGGCGGGGAGUUUGACUGGGGCGGUACAUCUGUCAAAUUGUAACGCAGGUGUCCUAAGGCGAGCUCAGAGAGGACGGAAACCUCUCGUUGAGCAAAAAGGCAAAUGCUUACUUGAUCUUGAUUUUCAGUACGAAUACAGACCGCGAAAGCGUGGCUUAUCGAUCCUUUUGAGUUUGUAAAGUUUACAGCAAGAGGUGUCAGAAAAGUUACCACAGGGAUAACUGGCUUGUGGCGGCCAAGCGUCCAUAGCGACGUCGCUUUUUGAUCCUUCGAUGUCGGCUCUUCCUAUCAUUGCGAAGCAGAAUUCGCCAAGCGUUGGAUUGUUCACCCACCAAUAGGGAACGUGAGCUGGGUUUAGACCGUCGUGAGACAGGUUAGUUUUACCCUACUAAAUACUUGUUGCUAUGAUGGUAAUCCUGCUUAGUACGAGAGGAACCGCAGGUUCAGACAUUUGGUUCAUGUGCUUGGUCGAUAGGCCAAUGGCGCGAAGCUACCAUCUGAGGGAUUAUGACUGAACGCCUCUAAGUCAGAAUCCCGCCCAGUCAUGAUAGCAAUAUAUAUCGCUCUCCGGUGUCGGAAGGCAAAAUGUAUGCCACUUUUUGUGGUAUUACAAGCCCCAGUAUCUGGCAUUUUCUUUCUACUAUAAUUGGUAGUUGGUUGCUAAAAGCUUAGCACUCCACGUGCAGGUGUAACGUCGGGGCGCAAAAUCACUUGUAUACGACUUGAAUACUGGUCAGGGGGUUGUAAACAGUAGAGCAGCUCUUCGCUGCGAUCUGCUGAGACUUAGCCCUUGAUCGGAUGAUUUGU